RNAcentral lists this non-coding RNA (29 nucleotides) under Mus musculus (house mouse). The record is from RNAcentral. RNAcentral also lists the same sequence under 1 other name. Lineage: Eukaryota; Metazoa; Chordata; Mammalia; Rodentia; Muridae.
UGAAUUAGAUGGAACUGCAUGUCCCCAAG